UACGAAGGGGGCUAGCGUUGCUCGGAAUGACUGGGCGUAAAGAGUGUGUAGGCGGUGCUCUAAGUUCGGUGUGAAAUCUCCUGGCUCAACUGGGAGGGUGCGCCGGAAACUGGAGUGCUUGAGCGUGGGAGAGGAAAGCGGAAUUCCUGGUGUAGCGGUGAAAUGCGUAGAUAUCAGGAGGAACACCUGUGGUGUAGACGGCUUUCUGGACCAUAGCUGACGCUGAGACACGAAAGCGUGGGUAGCAAACAGG
This 253-nucleotide ribosomal RNA is filed under the name uncultured bacterium. RNAcentral's name for it is "partial 16S ribosomal RNA". It matches the Rfam family "Bacterial small subunit ribosomal RNA", at positions 524 to 776 of the family's 1533-position model. The record is from RNAcentral.